RNAcentral lists this ribosomal RNA (296 nucleotides) under Chromobacterium violaceum. Its description in RNAcentral is "partial 23S ribosomal RNA". It matches the Rfam family "Bacterial large subunit ribosomal RNA", at positions 545 to 843 of the family's 2925-position model. The record is from RNAcentral. Lineage: Bacteria; Pseudomonadati; Pseudomonadota; Betaproteobacteria; Neisseriales; Chromobacteriaceae.
AGAACCUGAAACCGGAUGCAUACAAACAGUGGGAGCGGACUUGUUCCGUGACUGCGUACCUUUUGUAUAAUGGGUCAGCGACUUACGUUCAGUAGCAAGCUUAACCGAAUAGGGGAGGCGUAGGGAAACCGAGUCCGAAUAGGGCGUCUUAGUUGCUGGGCGUAGACCCGAAACCGAGUGAUCUAUCCAUGGCCAGGAUGAAGGUGCGGUAACACGCACUGGAGGUCCGAACCCACUAGUGUUGCAAAACUAGGGGAUGAGCUGUGGAUAGGGGUGAAAGGCUAAACAAACUCGGA